This is a non-coding RNA of Phaeosphaeriaceae sp. PMI808, 72 nucleotides long. NCBI's taxonomy places the organism in Eukaryota, Fungi, Ascomycota, Dothideomycetes, Pleosporales, Phaeosphaeriaceae. The record is from the annotation of a GenBank genome assembly.
GGGCGUAUAGCGCAGUGGUAGCGCGUUACAGUUGUACUGUAAAGGUCCUGAGUUCGAAUCUCGGUAUGUCCC